RNAcentral lists this transfer RNA (77 nucleotides) under Podarcis lilfordi (Lilford's wall lizard). Its description in RNAcentral is "tRNA.Ile". It matches the Rfam family "tRNA". From Rfam's summary of the family: Transfer RNA (tRNA) molecules are approximately 80 nucleotides in length. Their secondary structure includes four short double-helical elements and three loops (D, anti-codon, and T loops). Further hydrogen bonds mediate the characteristic L-shaped molecular structure. tRNAs have two regions of fundamental functional importance: the anti-codon, which is responsible for specific mRNA codon recognition, and the 3' end, to which the tRNAs corresponding amino acid is attached (by aminoacyl-tRNA synthetases). tRNAs cope with the degeneracy of the genetic code in two manners: having more than one tRNA (with a specific anti-codon) for a particular amino acid; and 'wobble' base-pairing, i.e. permitting non-standard base-pairing at the 3rd anti-codon position. Lineage: Eukaryota; Metazoa; Chordata; Lepidosauria; Squamata; Lacertidae. The record is from RNAcentral.
GCCCCUUGGGUAGCUCAGUUGGUUAGAGCUUGGUGCUGAUAACAUCAAGGUUGCAGGUUCAAUCCCUGUACGAGGCA